This 861-nucleotide ribosomal RNA is filed under the name Cantharellus cibarius (golden chanterelle). Its description in RNAcentral is "LSU rRNA". It matches the Rfam family "Eukaryotic large subunit ribosomal RNA", at positions 65 to 939 of the family's 3401-position model. The record is from RNAcentral. Lineage: Eukaryota; Fungi; Basidiomycota; Agaricomycetes; Cantharellales; Hydnaceae.
CUAACUAGGAUUCCCCCAGUAACUGCGAGUGAAGAGGGAAGAGCUCAUCAUUGGAAUCUGGCAGUGUUUCACUGUCCGAGUUGUAGAUGAGGAGUAGUCCGUCUGGACUGCAUGGCGUCCAAGUACAAUAGGCCGUCAGUGGGACAUCAUAGAGGGUGACAAUCCCGUCCUUGACGCCAAUGUGCAAGUCUAUUACGAUGGCUAUCUCAGAGAGUCGAGCAGUUUGGGAUUUGCUGCUUAAACAUGGGAGGUAGAUUCCUUCUAAAGCUAAAUACAGGCGAGAGACCGAUAGAGAACAAGUACCGCAAGGGAAAGAUGAAAUAGCACUCUGUGAAGGGAGUCAAAAGGCGUGAAAUUGUUGCGAGAGAAGCGAUUCAAGUCAGCGUAGCUAGGCCCAUCAAGCGUCUUCGCUUUGGACUAGCUUUGCCAGCGGUCUUGUCCCUUAAAGAGACUUGACUUGUAAUAUGUCCAGCCUGGCGUGCACAGGCAGCCCCUUCUGGGGGCCAGUGACAUGGCUGGUGGAAUGGCUUGCAAUCGACCCGUCUUGAAACACGGACCAAGGAGUCUAACAUGUAUGCGAGUAUAAGGGUGGCAAACCCGUAUGCGCAAUGAAAGUGAUUUUCGGUGAUUGAGAAUGGCCUGAUGACCAGACAAGCAAUAUAUGUCCCUCGUACGGCCAUUGCCCAAGUUCCGUGGUAGAUCCCACGAACAUGGAGUUGGAGCAUACAUGCUAGGACCCGAAAGAUGGUGAACUAUGCCUGGACAAAGCGAAGCCAAAGGAAACUCUGGUGGAGGCUUGUAGCGAUUCUGACGUGCAAAUCGAUCGUCUGAUCUGGGUAUAGGGGCGAAAGACUAAUCGAA